CCUACGGGGGGCUGCAGUGGGGAAUAUUGCACAAUGGGCGCAAGCCUGAUGCAGCCAUGCCGCGUGUGUGAAGAAGGCCUUCGGGUUGUAAAGCACUUUCAGCGGGGAGGAAGGCGGUGAGGUUAAUAACCUCAUCGAUUGACGUUACCCGCAGAAGAAGCACCGGCUAACUCCGUGCCAGCAGCCGCGGUAAUACGGAGGGUGCAAGCGUUAAUCGGAAUUACUGGGCGUAAAGCGCACGCAGGCGGUCUGUCAAGUCGGAUGUGAAAUCCCCGGGCUCAACCUGGGAACUGCAUUCGAAACUGGCAGGCUAGAGUCUUGUAGAGGGGGGUAGAAUUCCAGGUGUAGCGGUGAAAUGCGUAGAGAUCUGGAGGAAUACCGGUGGCGAAGGCGGCCCCCCUGGACAAAGACUGACGCUCAGGUGCGAAAGCGUGGGGAGCAAACAGGAUUAGAUACCCCUGUAGUC
This 466-nucleotide ribosomal RNA is filed under the name uncultured Klebsiella sp. RNAcentral's name for it is "bacterial SSU rRNA". It matches the Rfam family "Bacterial small subunit ribosomal RNA", at positions 338 to 795 of the family's 1533-position model. The record is from RNAcentral. Lineage: Bacteria; Pseudomonadati; Pseudomonadota; Gammaproteobacteria; Enterobacterales; Enterobacteriaceae.